RNAcentral lists this long non-coding RNA (1187 nucleotides) under Phasianus colchicus (ring-necked pheasant). Its description in RNAcentral is "lncRNA (ENSPCLG00000012830.1)". The record is from RNAcentral. Lineage: Eukaryota; Metazoa; Chordata; Aves; Galliformes; Phasianidae.
GUUACUUGUGGCAUUCACACAAACAUUUGUUUGCAUAGUAGGACAGACAUAAGAUGAAGCUCUAUCUUCUGAACACUUCGCUCCAUUUCUAUUUCCAUAGCUGCCAAUAUAAUCAGUAGUCAGAGAAGCAACCAUACAACUGCAAAACUUUCUGUUCAGCUGUGAAUAUAUCCACGUCUUCUCUAAGAGCUCAGGCAUUCUCUUUGUCACCAUUAUUUCCUAUCCCUUUUUCAAACCUUGCUGUAUCAUUUUACUAUCCUACAUGUAUAGGACUGCAAGCUAUUGCUACUCAUUUAUAUGAAAAAGGAUUUCUGCUGAGCAAUUUACAAAAAGAGUUCUUCUCUUGUAGCUAUAUUCUUUCUUAAAAAAUUUGGUAGAACAUGAAAAAAUAAUAGCCUACCUGUGCCAAGUAGGAAUUAUAAGAAAAUACAUAUUUCUCUUCAGAGUUGAAUUCUUUAAGCUGAAUAUACAAAAUAAAGUAGUACUCUUCUGCCUGUUACUCCCCUGAUAUGAUAACAGAUGGUUCAAACUCUUCAGUCAAGUCUAAAGAAAUCAUUUAGUUAUGACAACUUCUGCCUUCAUUCCGUGUCCCAGUUGUUUGGUGUGAGUUUUUUUGUAUUUUUUUUUUUUUAAAGAGGGGCAGAGGAGAGAAGAAAAUAUCCUUUAUCCCUUACUACCUUCAUUAUGUCUCUGUCCCAUGGGGAAAAAGCAGCCAUGUCGUUAUUCUUGACAAAUCUGGGGUGGACAGUCUCUACAAGCAAAUGCAUCCCCUUCAAUACCCUAACAUUUUUCCUACUAUUUGUCUCAAAUUCACUUUCUAGUCCCAGGUGCAUUGGUUGCAAACCAGUUACUCACUGACUUCUUACAACAGCCUCGUGAAGUACAGUGCUCUUCAUCUGUAGGCUGUUGAAUGCUUUCUUCUUUAUUAUGACAUAAUUCUUUCAUUCUUUAUUGUAGCUUCUUCUUUAUGCAGAAACUUACAUACUUUGCAUCCCUUUUUUUCCAGAUAUGGAGAGAAGAGUAUUCAAAGGUAGCUCAUCACAGACCUAGAAGUUGUUUUCCAGAAACCCACAGCCCAUAUGAAGAUCUGCGCUACUCGUAUUUCCAAACCUGGCCUUCUCAGAAGAGUCCAAUCCUUCUUCCCUCCCUCUCUCCGCCAAGUUUUCUGUGAGACAACAUUACAUCAC